Molecule: ribosomal RNA, 382 nt
Filed under: uncultured eukaryote
Lineage: Eukaryota
Description: partial 18S ribosomal RNA
Rfam family: Eukaryotic small subunit ribosomal RNA
Source: RNAcentral
CAAUAGCGUAUAUUAAAGUUGUUGCAGUUAAAAAGCUCGUAGUUGGAUUUCUGGUGGGAGCGAUCGGUCUGGCGCUUAGCGCGAGUACUUGCAUCGUCUCCGGCCAUCCUUGGGGAGAGUCUGUCUGGCAUUAGGUUGUCGGGCAGAGGAUCCUCAUCGUUUACUGUGAAAAAAUUAGAGUGUUCAAAGCAGGCUUAUGCCGUUGAAUAUAUUAGCAUGGAAUAAUAAGAUAGGACUUUGGUACUAUUUUGUUGGUUUGCGCACCAAAGUAAUGAUCAAUAGGGACAGUUGGGGGUAUUCGUAUUCCGUUGUCAGAGGUGAAAUUCUUGGAUUUACGGAAGACGAACUACUGCGAAAGCAUUUACCAAGGAUGUUUNCAUUA